AUUGAAAUAUUACAUUUUCUCUUUAUUUGCUUGUUUAGUGAAUCAUAUACUCUCUUAUUUGGGGCCAAUCCUUUGAUUCGACCGAAACUUGAUGCCAGCAAAUUAGCUGAUCUUCCAAUGAAGAAUUUUGUGAUGUUGCCUUGUGGUGGCAUUGGUGUAGAUUCUGACACAACCUGGAAUGAUCUACACACAGCAAGUGCUGCAAGAAUGGCUGCUGGAUGUGUUGUUGAAUUUUCCAUGAAAGUAGCAACAGAUGAAAUAGAGAAUGGUUUUGCUAUCGUCCGUCCUCCUGGACAUCAUGCGGAACAUUAAUAGGCAAUG
Non-coding RNA from Parasteatoda tepidariorum (common house spider), 321 nucleotides. The record is from RefSeq and is a predicted model, not a curated record. Lineage: Eukaryota; Metazoa; Arthropoda; Arachnida; Araneae; Theridiidae.